Molecule: ribosomal RNA, 478 nt
Filed under: uncultured bacterium
Lineage: Bacteria
Description: partial 16S ribosomal RNA
Rfam family: Bacterial small subunit ribosomal RNA
Source: RNAcentral
GACGAACGCUGGCGGCGUGCUUAACACAUGCAAGUCGAACGGAAAGGCCCUUCGGGGUACUCGAGUGGCGAACGGGUGAGUAACACGUGGGUGAUCUGCCCUGCACUUUGGGAUAAGCCUGGGAAACUGGGUCUAAUACCGAAUAGGACCACGGCCUUCAUGGGUUGUGGGGGAAAGCUUUUGCGGUGUGGGAUGGGCCCGCGGCCUAUCAGCUUGUUGGUGGGGUAAUGGCCUACCAAGGCGACGACGGGUAGCCGGCCUGAGAGGGGGACCGGCCACACUGGGACUGAGAUACGGCCCAGACGCCUACGGGAGGCAGCAGUGGGGAAUAUUGCACAAUGGGCGCAAGCCUGAUGCAGCGACGCCGCGUGAGGGAUGACGGCCUUCGGGUUGUAAACCUCUUUCAGCAGGGACGAAGCGCAAGUGACGGUACCUGUAGAAGAAGGACCGGCCAACUACGUGCCAGCCGCCGCGGUAA